GACGAACGCUGGCGGCGUGCUUAACACAUGCAAGUCGAACGGAAAGGCUCCAGCUUGCUGGAGUACUCGAGUGGCGAACGGGUGAGUAACACGUGGGUAAUCUGCCCUGCACUCUGGGAUAAGCCUGGGAAACUGGGUCUAAUACUGGAUAUGACCUUUCUCCUUAUGGGGUUUGGUGGAAAGUUUUUCGGUGUAGGAUGAGCCCGCGGCCUAUCAGCUUGUUGGUGGGGUGAUGGCCUACCAAGGCGACGACGGGUAGCCGGCCUGAGAGGGUGAUCGGCCACAUUGGGACUGAGAUACGGCCCAGACUCCAACGGGAGGCAGCGGUGGGGAAUAUUGCACAAUGGGCGGAAGCCUGAUGCAGCGACGCCGCGUGAGGGAUGACGGCCUUCGGGUUGUAAACCUCUUUCAGCAGGGACGAAGCGUAAGUGACGGUACCUGCAGAAGAAGCACCGGCUAACUAUGUG
Molecule: ribosomal RNA, 467 nt
Filed under: uncultured bacterium
Lineage: Bacteria
Description: partial 16S ribosomal RNA
Rfam family: Bacterial small subunit ribosomal RNA
Source: RNAcentral